RNAcentral lists this unclassified non-coding RNA (741 nucleotides) under Hevea brasiliensis (rubber tree). Lineage: Eukaryota; Viridiplantae; Streptophyta; Magnoliopsida; Malpighiales; Euphorbiaceae. The record is from RNAcentral.
GCGACAGCUUGUAUCUCUUGGGCGGGCUUUACUUAAACAAGCCAAAAUUUUGGUGCUUGAUGAAGCGACGGCCUCGGUUGACUCAGCAACAGAUAACCUCAUCCAGAAGAUUAUUAGGACAGAGUUUAAGGACUGCACUGUUUGCACCAUUGCACAUCGUAUCCCUACAGUUAUUGACAGUGAUCUUGUCCUGGUCCUCAGUGAUGGUCGGGUGGCUGAGUUUGAUACUCCAGCACGACUCUUAGAGGACAAAUCUUCUAUGUUUCUCAAGUUGGUAUCAGAGUACUCAACAAGAUCCAGUGGCAUGCCUGAUUUUUAAUUCGGGUAGCAAGCCUGAAGAUUUUGAUGGGAGAACAAAGAAGAGCAGAAUGCCAUAGGAAAAAUGAACUGGCUAGCACUCCUGCUGCUGCUUCAUUGGGCUAGAAGAAGAAGUAUAAAUGGUGAAGGGGGUAUCUGCAAGCAGCACAAGGGAGCUACAAGUUGAAAUUAGUUACUGCAGUAAAGGCCAUGCUCAAUUCUUCUGUAGGUAUGAUGGGAAUUCUGUAACAUAAAAUAAGCUAGGCAGCAGAGGUUGGUAAUAAGUAGGAAGAGAAGAAAUGUGACGGCAAUUUGUAUCUAUCUGACAUGAACUGAUAAGCAAAUUUUGAUUAUAUUUCUGAUCUUGUAGAGGACUAACUCAACUUCAGUGCCUACUUUUGUCGAUAAGGUUUAUUAUAUUCACGAGUUCUACUUAUCAAUCAA